GAUGAACGCUGGCGGCGUGCCUAAUACAUGCAAGUCGAGCGAACGGACGAGAAGCUUGCUUCUCUGAUGUUAGCGGCGGACGGGUGAGUAACACGUGGAUAACCUACCUAUAAGGCUGGGAUAACUUCGGGAAACCGGAGCUAAUACCGGAUAAUAUUUUGAACCGCAUGGUUCAAAAGUGAAAGACGGUCUUGCUGUCACUUAUAGAUGGAUCCGCGCUGCAUUAGCUAGUUGGUAAGGUAACGGCUUACCAAGGCAACGAUGCAUAGCCGACCUGAGAGGGUGAUCGGCCACACUGGAACUGAGACACGGUCCAGACUCCUACGGGAGGCAGCAGUAGGGAAUCUUCCGCAAUGGGCGAAAGCCUGACGGAGCAACGCCGCGUGAGUGAUGAAGGUCUUCGGAUCGUAAAACUCUGUUAUUAGGGAAGAACAUAUGUGUAAGUAACUGUGCACAUCUUGACGGUACCUAAUCAGAAAGCCACGGCUAACUACGUGCCAGCAGCCGCGGUAAUACGUAGGUGGCAAGCGUUAUCCGGAAUUAUUGGGCGUAAAGCGCGCGUAGGCGGUUUUUUAAGUCUGAUGUGAAAGCCCACGGCUCAACCGUGGAGGGUCAUUGGAAACUGGAAAACUUGAGUGCAGAAGAGGAAAGUGGAAUUCCAUGUGUAGCGGUGAAAUGCGCAGAGAUAUGGAGGAACACCAGUGGCGAAGGCGACUUUCUGGUCUGUAACUGACGCUGAUGUGCGAAAGCGUGGGGAUCAAACAGGAUUAGAUACCCUGGUAGUCCACGCCGUAAACGAUGAGUGCUAAGUGUUAGGGGGUUUCCGCCCCUUAGUGCUGCAGCUAACGCAUUAAGCACUCCGCCUGGGGAGUACGACCGCAAGGUUGAAACUCAAAGGAAUUGACGGGGACCCGCACAAGCGGUGGAGCAUGUGGUUUAAUUCGAAGCAACGCGAAGAACCUUACCAAAUCUUGACAUCCUUUGACAACUCUAGAGAUAGAGCUUUCCCCUUCGGGGGACAAAGUGACAGGUGGUGCAUGGUUGUCGUCAGCUCGUGUCGUGAGAUGUUGGGUUAAGUCCCGCAACGAGCGCAACCCUUAAGCUUAGUUGCCAUCAUUAAGUUGGGCACUCUAAGUUGACUGCCGGUGACAAACCGGAGGAAGGUGGGGAUGACGUCAAAUCAUCAUGCCCCUUAUGAUUUGGGCUACACACGUGCUACAAUGGACAAUACAAAGGGCAGCGAAACCGCGAGGUCAAGCAAAUCCCAUAAAGUUGUUCUCAGUUCGGAUUGUAGUCUGCAACUCGACUACAUGAAGCUGGAAUCGCUAGUAAUCGUAGAUCAGCAUGCUACGGUGAAUACGUUCCCGGGUCU
RNAcentral lists this ribosomal RNA (1372 nucleotides) under uncultured bacterium. Its description in RNAcentral is "bacterial SSU rRNA". It matches the Rfam family "Bacterial small subunit ribosomal RNA", at positions 28 to 1381 of the family's 1533-position model. The record is from RNAcentral.